RNAcentral lists this ribosomal RNA (139 nucleotides) under uncultured eukaryote. RNAcentral's name for it is "partial 18S ribosomal RNA". It matches the Rfam family "Eukaryotic small subunit ribosomal RNA", at positions 1299 to 1458 of the family's 1831-position model. The record is from RNAcentral.
UGGUGGAGUGAUUUGUCUGGUUAAUUCCGUUAACGAACGAGACCUCCGCGUGCUAAAUAGUUCUGCCUACAAUUUCGUAGGUAAGGACUUCUUAGAGGGACUUUUGGUGACUAACCAAAGGAAGUUGGAGGCAAUAACA